This 2694-nucleotide long non-coding RNA is filed under the name Salmo salar (Atlantic salmon). RNAcentral describes it as "lncRNA (ENSSSAG00000112874.1)". Lineage: Eukaryota; Metazoa; Chordata; Actinopteri; Salmoniformes; Salmonidae. The record is from RNAcentral.
GUAUUAAGUGCCAUGACCAAUUAAUAUGCACAUAUACUCUAACUAUUCCCUGGGGAAGUGGUUAGCGCUACCUUGGAAAAUAGUUAAUAGAAGGUGUUUUUUUAGAGACGGAAGUGAAGAAGAUCUAAACACUGGAUACCGUCCGGGGAAGCGUCAGAAUAAUAACUAUUGAAAUGGCGACCGGCGGACCCAAUGCUCCCGGUAAAGUGGGGGUAGAGGAAGAGAAGUUUAAUAGAGCCAUAAAGGCGCUGAAAAAGUCGCACGGACAUUAUACCAAUUCGCCUCGAAUAUGGGAGAAAAAAAUUUGCAAACUGGAUCAAAUUGGUCAGCAUUUCCCGGCUAACGAAAAAUUCCAAUCUAAUAGAGAAUUCAGGGAGGCAAUUGUGACUUGGCACAAUGACAAAACCAGAAUCAAAAGCUCAAUGUACCAUUGUUUUGAUGUCUGCAUUCUAUCAACAAAAAAUACAAACCGAUAAACCCAGAAUUAGUGGAUGUACUCAGCUACAGAAGGACUGGGUACGUAAGUACAUUGAUAGAAUUUGUACAUUGGCUUUGAUGUCAGGUUUGAAACCUGUGAUCAAAACAGCAAUUGCGGUGGUAGUGGAUGAAAUAGAGCAGAAAGCUAAUUCCGCAGAUGUACGAGUGGUUAAUGCAGCCAGAGUGAAAGUCAUUAACAGUGGUUUCAAUGGCCCAAGUAAGACAAGGAAAUGGGGAGGAAAGGGGAAAUCAAGAGUCCUGUUUUAGGUGUGGGGCUGUUGGUCAUUGGAAAAGGGAGUGUAAGGUAGGAAUGGAGCCCUGUGCAUUCGGGAGGGAUACUGCGAUGCAAAAAUGUGCAUCUUUGUCAAAACAAAAGUAACAUCCUUUUUGAAAACAGCGGGACAGGAAGAUGUUACAUAGCAGUGAAUGGCCUCGGUUGGAUUGAUAGUGGUUCAUAGACAUUACAGUUUCUAUGUGAAGUGAGACGUAGGAGCCCACGUCUCAAGCAACUUUUUAAUAGAUGCCAGGGAUCAAAUAUCGCGGAUUCCUUAUGAUGAGAAAUUGGCUAACAUUGCCAUAGGAAAAAGUAUUUUGGGUUGAAGAAUCUAUGCGAAAUUUCAAGGGAAUGGAUUCUAAAGAGGGGAAAUGACCAGUUCCCUGGGGCCCUGGUCCUUGGAUUGGAUCUGCUGGAUUGUUGGGAUUCCCCCCAUGAGUUAGAGUGCUAACUCCCUGAUCUGGUAACUCUUCUGAGAAGUCGCCAGUAAAAUAAAUUCUUCAAAGUAGUCACCCAUUGCCUCGAUGACAGCUUUGCACACUCUUGGCAUUCUCUCAACCAGCUCCAUGAGGUAGUCACCUGGAAUGCUUGUCAAUUAACAGGACAAUGACCCAACACACCUCCAGGCUGUGUAAGGGCUAUUUGACCAAGAAGGAGAGUGAUGGAGUGCUGCAUCAGAUGACCUAGCCUCCACAAUUACCUGACCUCAAUCCAAUUGAUAUGGUUUGGGAUGAGGUGGACUGCAGAGAGAAGGAAAAGCAGCCAACAAGUGUUCAGCAUAUGUGGGAACUCCUUCAAGACUGUUGGAAAAGCAUUCCAGGUGAAACUGGUUGGGAGAAUACCAAGAGAGCAAAGCUGUCAUCAAGGCAAAGAAUGGCUACUUUGAAGAACCCAAUAUAUAAAAUAUGAUUUGAUUUAUUUAACUUUUUUGGUUACUACAUGAUUCCAUAUGUGUAUUCCAUAGUUUGUCUUCUGUCUCAGCCUCCAGUAUUUAUGCUGCAGUAGUUUGUGUCGGGGGGCUAGGGUCAGUCUGUUACAUCUGGAGUAUUUCUCUUGUCUUAUCCGGUGUCCUGUGUGAAUUUAAAUAUGCUCUCUCUAAUUCUCUCUUUCUGUCUUUCUCUCGGAGGACCUGAGCCCUAGGACCAUGCCUCAGGACUACCUGGUAUGAUGACUCCUUGCUGUCCCCAGUCCACCUGGCCGUGCUGCUGCUCCAGUUUCAACUGUUCUGCCUGCGGCUAUGGAACCCAGACCUGUUCACCAGACGUGCUUGUUGCACCCUCGACAACUACUAUGAUUAUUAUUAUUUGACCAUGCUGGUCAUUUAUGAACAUUUUAACAUUUUAACAUUUUGACCAUGUUCUGUUAAUAUCCACCCUGCACAGCCAGAAGAGGACUGGCCACCCCUCAUAGCCUGGUUCCUCUCUAGGUUUCUUCCUAGGUUUUUGGCCUUUCUAGGGAGUUUUUCCUAGGGAGUUUUUCCUAGCCACCGUGCUUCUUUCACAUGCUUUGCUUGCUGUUUGGGGUUUUAGGCUGGGUUUCUGUACAGCACUUUGAGAAUAUCAGCUGAUGUACGAAGGGCUAUAUAAAAAUAAAUUUGAUUUGAUUUGAUUCACUAUUAUUCUACAAUGUAGAAAAUAGUAAAAAUAAAGAAAAACCCUUAAAUGAGUAGGUGUGUCCAAACUUUUGACUGGAACUGUAUAAAUAUGUGUAUGUAUAGCUCAAUCGUCUUGUUUUAGGGGUCUCAUGUUCUUGGUUUAAAAAAAUGAAACAAGUGGGGUUUGUGAUGUUGAGCUCAGUGUUGUGUGCGGGGGCAGUUCAGUGGAAUUAGUGACUUGACCAGAGACCAACCACAUUUUUGCUCAGUUGGGUGGGAUUUCCUGUUUUGUGACAGUUUACUUCUCUUCUCUGUCAUGAAAAUGCUAAUACCAGAAAGUGUCUAGAAG